CACGUAGGGUGCGAGCGUUGUCCGGAAUUAUUGGGCGUAAAGAGCUCGUAGGCGGUGUGUCGCGUCGGCCGUGAAAACCUGCAGCUUAACUGUGGGCGUGCGGUCGAUACGGGCAUCCACUGGAGUUCGCAGGGGAGACUGGAAUUCCUGGUGUAGCGGUGAAAUGCGCAGAUAUCAGGAGGAACACCGGUGGCGAAGGCGGGUCUCUGGGCCGAUACUGACGCUGAGGAGCGAAAGCGUGGGGAGCGAACAGG
This 254-nucleotide ribosomal RNA is filed under the name uncultured bacterium. RNAcentral describes it as "partial 16S ribosomal RNA". It matches the Rfam family "Bacterial small subunit ribosomal RNA", at positions 524 to 776 of the family's 1533-position model. The record is from RNAcentral.